AUGGGCCCGCGGGCCGGGCGGGCUCGGGGCGGCCGGGACGAGGAGGGGCGACGACGAGCUGCGAGCAAAGAUGUGCCCCGGGACCCCCGGCACCUUCCAGUGGAUUUCCUUGCGGAAAGGAUGUUGGCGGUCCCUGUGACCUGUGGAGACACGGCCAGAUCUGCCCUCCAAGCUUUACAGAAAUUCCAUGCUGCCUUCAGCUUCCUUUGCCGCUCUGCAUCAUGUUGGACCAUAGCUGUCUGCAGUGCAGGAAGCCAACUAUUAAGGGGAAACAAAAGUGUUCUUAGGAGUCCUGCUGUCACUGUGGAUUGAGCCGGUGAAGCCCUGAGGGAUUUCAUCGCUGAGGUGGAUGGAGAAGCAGCUGGGGGCCUUGGCUGUAAGGACCCCUAAGGGCCUGAUCUUUUGGCCAGAAGGAGAUUAAAAAGAUGCCCCUCAAGAUGGCUGUGCCUGUCAGCUGCAUGGAGCUUCGUUCAAGUAUUUUCUGAGCCUGAUGGAUUUACAGUGAUCUUCAGUGGUCUGGGGAAUAACGCUGGUGGAACCAUGCACUGGAAUGACACACGCCCGGCACAUUUCAGGAUACUAAAAGUGGUUUUAAGGGAGGCUGUGGCUGAAUGCCUCAUGGAUUCUUACAGCUUGGAUGUCCAUGGGGGACGAAGGACUGCAGCUGGCUGAGAGGGUUGAGAUCUCUGUUUACUUAGAUCUCUGCCAACUUCCUUUGGGUCUCCCUAUGGAAUGUAAGACCCCGACUCUUCCUGGUGAAGCAUCUGAUGCACGUUCCAUCCGGCGCUCAGCUGGGCUUGAGGACUUCGCAGGUGAGCAGUAACGGAAAUCAGCCCCGUUUAUUCCUCCCAGCACCUGCCUUAUCCAACUCCCCACGCUGUGGCUGAGUCCCAGCCUGCUAUGGAAGCAUCACUGGACUCCCAUUGAACUCUGUGCAGAUUCGCUGUUCGUAGACAUGGUACCUGAUGGACACCAAGCUACGUACAGCUUCAAGGCCCCUUCUUUCUUUGCUAAUAAAAAAUAAAAAAUAAAAACAUAAUACACGUU
This 1047-nucleotide long non-coding RNA is filed under the name Homo sapiens (human). RNAcentral describes it as "Pvt1 oncogene". The stretch from base 228 to 392 matches the Rfam family "Pvt1 oncogene conserved region 2". Lineage: Eukaryota; Metazoa; Chordata; Mammalia; Primates; Hominidae. The record is from RNAcentral.